GGAAAAAAAAAAAAAAAACAGCGGAAUUUGGUUCCGCAGACAUCUCACUGUUCAUAUCAAAUUUCUUGCUGUAAUUGACUAGAUUACGUAAAAUUGAAAAUUUUAAAUCAUACUAGACACAAUAAAGAUUAAAAACCCUAAUUAUUGAACUCAUUUUGUUCAAAAUAUGCCGUGAAAUAAAUCAAAUGGCGGAAAAAAAAAAAAACCCAAAGUUCUUACCUGUUUUUGUGAACCGAAGCCUUCAAUCUCCAAAAAACUCUAGUUUUUCUCAACGAUUAUCACAAAUUAGUAACAAACGGUUUUGAUUCACAGCUUUAAGAUCAAAAUGCCUACAAAUUUUGAAAGAUUCAUGCCCUAUUUGGCAUGAAAUUUCAGAAAAGGCGGAAACCCUAAACCCCGAAAUUUUCGUGAUCCAAAAACAACCAAUUUUUCCACCAUUUAAUUCUUGAAAAAGCUGAAUAAAGCUGUUUACAGCCUGCAAAUCAGAUCACAUGCCAAAAAAAACAAAAAAAAUGAUCAAAAAAUGACAAAU
RNAcentral lists this long non-coding RNA (532 nucleotides) under Amborella trichopoda. Its description in RNAcentral is "long non-coding RNA (ATRI_LNC000157)". The record is from RNAcentral. Lineage: Eukaryota; Viridiplantae; Streptophyta; Magnoliopsida; Amborellales; Amborellaceae.